RNAcentral lists this ribosomal RNA (253 nucleotides) under uncultured bacterium. RNAcentral describes it as "partial 16S ribosomal RNA". It matches the Rfam family "Bacterial small subunit ribosomal RNA", at positions 524 to 776 of the family's 1533-position model. The record is from RNAcentral.
UACGUAGGGUACAAGCGUUAAUCGGAAUUACUGGGCGUAAAGCGUGCGCAGGCGGUUGUGCAAGACCGAUGUGAAAUCCCCGGGCUUAACCUGGGAAUGGCAUUGGUGACUGCACGGCUAGAGUGUGUCAGAGGGGGGUAGAAUUCCACGUGUAGCAGUGAAAUGCGUAGAGAUGUGGAGGAAUACCGAUGGCGAAGGCAGCCCCCUGGGAUAACACUGACGCUCAUGCACGAAAGCGUGGGGAGCAAACGGG